UAUAAGGUGUCUCUGGCAUACUAUUGUUGAAGGUUCUGGGUCGUGAAGUUUACAGAUGUUAACAGAAGCCCAUCUGUAUAAGAAGGUACUGGCUACUGCUUCAGUCCAUGGAAGGUACUUGGAGGAGCAUUGUUGCGGCUCACAGGCUGCUUGCUGUGCCAGUCUGCCAGUCUAACUCUGUGGAUACCGUGAGAGCCCGAUGCCUGUAAAACCCCCAGCACCCCACCCCUUAUCCCCCCUAAAAACACCACAACUACGGCCACCCCGACAGUGCCUCCCACCGCAACCCAGCAGCAAGCCUGUGAAACACGCGUUAAAUUCACCUGUAGCAUCAGAGUCAUGACUGCAAGGACCAGUCUACACCCAGGAGCCAGAAGGCCACAGCCUAGCCAAGAACUGUUGUAGAGGGGGACUAACUGCAGAACUGCCCAACAGGAGAAGAGUGGAGCUGGAAGUCGUCCUUGCUCACUCCUUCUAGCCUGCUCUGACUGCAGCCCUGUGAGGACUGUCCAGUACAAGAGUCCCAUGGAGAUACUGAACUAAGGAAAAUAACCCAGACUCUCACUAGCAAGGUUACAUCAACAUGG
Esox lucius (northern pike) is the source of this 587-nucleotide long non-coding RNA. RefSeq lists it as uncharacterized. The record is from RefSeq and is a predicted model, not a curated record. The transcript has 4 exons. NCBI's taxonomy places the organism in Eukaryota, Metazoa, Chordata, Actinopteri, Esociformes, Esocidae.